This 253-nucleotide ribosomal RNA is filed under the name uncultured bacterium. RNAcentral describes it as "partial 16S ribosomal RNA". It matches the Rfam family "Bacterial small subunit ribosomal RNA", at positions 524 to 776 of the family's 1533-position model. The record is from RNAcentral.
UACGGGGGGGGCAAGCGUUGUUCGGAAUUACUGGGCGUAAAGGGCUCGUAGGCGGCCAACUAAGUCAGACGUGAAAUCCCCAAGCUUAACUUGGGAACUGCGUCUGAUACUGAGUGGCUUGAAUUCGGGAGAGGGAUGCAGAAUUCCAGGUGUAGCGGUGAAAUGCGUAGAUGUCUGGAGGAAUACCGGUGGCGAAGGCGGCAUCCUGGACCGAGAUUGACACUGAGGAGCGAAAGCCAGGGGAGCAAACGGG